UACAGAGGGUGCGAGCGUUGUCCGGAAUCACUGGGCGUAAAGGGCGCGUAGGUGGCCCGACAAGUCCAUGGUGAAAGUUCGACGCUUAACGUCGAAUCGGCCACUGAUACUGUUGGGCUGGAGCACUGUAGAGGCUCAUGGAAUUCCGGGUGUAGCGGUGGAAUGCGUAGAGAUCCGGAAGAACACCGGUGGCGAAGGCGGUGAGCUGGGCAGUUGCUGACACUGAGGCGCGACAGCGUGGGGAGCAAAAGGG
RNAcentral lists this ribosomal RNA (253 nucleotides) under uncultured bacterium. Its description in RNAcentral is "partial 16S ribosomal RNA". It matches the Rfam family "Bacterial small subunit ribosomal RNA", at positions 524 to 776 of the family's 1533-position model. The record is from RNAcentral.